RNAcentral lists this ribosomal RNA (432 nucleotides) under uncultured bacterium. RNAcentral describes it as "partial 16S ribosomal RNA". It matches the Rfam family "Bacterial small subunit ribosomal RNA", at positions 29 to 507 of the family's 1533-position model. The record is from RNAcentral.
AGCGAACGCUGGCGGCAGGCCUAACACAUGCAAGUCGAACGAACUCUUCGGAGUUAGUGGCGGACGGGUGAGUAACACGUGGGAACGUGCCUUUUGGUUCGGAAUAACUCAGGGAAACUUGUGCUAAUACCGAAUGUGCCCUUCGGGGAAAGAUUUAUCGCCAUUAGAGCGGCCCGCGUCUGAUUAGCUAGUUGGUGAGGUAACGGCUCACCAAGGCGACGAUCAGUAGCUGGUCUGAGAGGAUGACCAGCCACACUGGGACUGAGACACGGCCCAGACUCCUACGGGAGGCAGCAGUGGGGAAUCUUGCGCAAUGGGCGAAAGCCUGACGCAGCCAUGCCGCGUGAAUGAUGAAGGUCUUAGGAUUGUAAAAUUCUUUCACCGGGGACGAUAAUGACGGUACCUGGAGAAGAAGCCCCGGCUAACUUCGUG